Acanthosepion pharaonis is the source of this 107-nucleotide non-coding RNA. NCBI's taxonomy places the organism in Eukaryota, Metazoa, Mollusca, Cephalopoda, Sepiida, Sepiidae. The record is from the annotation of a GenBank genome assembly.
UUAUGGCCACAUCACGCUAAAACACCAGUUCCCGUACGGAUCACCGAAGAUAAGCAACGUUGAGCCUGGUCAGUACCCAGAUGGGUGACCGCUUGGGAAUACGAGGU